AGUGAACGCUGGCGGUAGGCCUAACACAUGCAAGUCGAACGGCAGCACAGUAAGAGCUUGCUCUUACGGGUGGCGAGUGGCGGACGGGUGAGGAAUACAUCGGAAUCUACUUUUUCGUGGGGGUUAACGUAGGGAAACUUACGCUAAUACCGCAUACGACCUACGGGUGAAAGCAGUGGAUCUUCGGACCUUGCGCGUUUUAAUUAGCCGAUGUCGGAUUAGCUAGUUGGCGGGGUAAAGGCCCACCAAGGCGACGAUCCGUAGCUGGUCUGAGAGGAUGAUAAGCCACACUGGAACUGAGAAACGGUCAAGACUCCUACGGGAGGCAGCAGUGGGGAAUAUUGGACAAUGGGCGAAAGCCUGAUCCAGCAAUACCGCGUGGGUGAAGAAGGCCUUCGGGUUGUAAAGCCCUUUUGUUGGGAAAGAAAAGCAGCAGGUUAAUACCCCGCUGUUCUGACGGUACCCAAAGAAUAAGCACCGGCUAACUUCGUG
Molecule: ribosomal RNA, 492 nt
Filed under: uncultured bacterium
Lineage: Bacteria
Description: partial 16S ribosomal RNA
Rfam family: Bacterial small subunit ribosomal RNA
Source: RNAcentral